AGUUUAACACUAUAUAAAUAGUAUAUAUAUUAGAACCAUGGCCAAAUAAUUCAUAAUAUCCUCUCCAAAAGCAAAAGCACAAUUAAUCAAAGCAUAAAAUAUGGCAAAAGUUUCAGUCUACUACUCUCUUCUUCUUAUCAUCAUGUUUUUGUUAGUCCUUGACGGGACGAUUGCUCAAGACCAUCAAGUUAAAGAUUUGCAAUGUGCUUCUCCAAUCUUCAACAUAAAAUGCAAGGUGGAUGAAGAUUGUAUGCCUAGUUGCAAGGAUAAAUAUAAAGAUAGAUUAAUUAACGCAGGUUGUAUACUGAGUCCAGAUAAACCUGAUCGUAUUUGUCUUUGUGGCUACUAUUGUAGAAGGCUUUUGAGAAAUUAAGAAUCCAAAUGUUCAAAACACAUAUGAAACAACAUAAAUGUUACAAUAGUUUCUUU
Non-coding RNA from Solanum lycopersicum (tomato), 429 nucleotides. The record is from RefSeq and is a predicted model, not a curated record. NCBI's taxonomy places the organism in Eukaryota, Viridiplantae, Streptophyta, Magnoliopsida, Solanales, Solanaceae.